AAUUUAUACGGCAUAACGAAGUCGUAUUUAGCUUGUAUUCUACGUGAGAGGCGUAUUUCAGAUCGAGAAAUCCCAAAUCCCUAAUAACCUAAUCCCCUUUCCCUCCGCUCUUUCUUCUUCUGGCGUCCUUGCUGCUCGAAAGAUUCUCGCUCGAUUUAGGUCUUUGAUUUCCCCGAUUCAUCUGCCGGUGCCAGAUAUGGCCUGUGUCGACAUCCAUGGCAUGAGUGUGACGCUCACGAUGCCCGACCAGCUGUCGCACUCCGGGAAGAAGAGAGCCGCCGACGAGGAUCUCGUCCUCGCCGACGAGUCCGAGGCCCGUGGAUGGUCCUCGGCGGUCUCGGACCGCAGGCUCGUCCUGCGCCGCCGGCGAGGUCCGGUUUCCUCUUCCUGCUGCCGCGGCUGCAUCAUGGUGACGGAGGCACCGGACUGCCGUGCCGAGGAGGCGGUCGAAGGCGCCCAGCUAGCUGCACCGGAGAGCAAGGCUUCCUCUGUUGAGGAGCUGGUCUGCUGGACAGUACUCUAAUCCAACAAUCCAACCAUCCAAAAUCGCCAGGCCUGCUUGUGCAAAUGUCUGAAAAAGGUUCAAUGUUUCUGCUCCCGUUGUGUCCAUCUAUUGCAGAGUCCUUUCUUUCUAGACCAUAUGAAUAACCUCUUUUCUCUUCUUUUUUAUGUCAAUGUCGGAGCACCUUGGGGUUUCGAGCAGGCGACGCUACAAGAAGUUGAGGAGGCGUCAUAUGAAGUAAUCAAAUUACAAGUCAAGAGGCCAGAUGUGCUGGAAUGUCAGUUUAGCUAUUAUGUCAUGUCAGUUAGUACUCCCUCUGUAAACUUUUAUAAGAUCCUUACUUUAGUGAUCUAAACAAUCUUAUAAAAGUUUACGAAGGGAGUACUUAGUACUAGUUGUUUCCUGUAAUAUCGUGGCUCACGGCAGUAUGUAAGCCGGAGAGUGGGUGGAGGGCGGCACGAUAUGAAUAAAACCAUAAAUUUCCCUAUCUUGCAUUGUUUCCUUAGCUUCAUGUUUUCUGCUCUCGUCUUCAUGCCUUGGCAUGAUAUCAACAGUUCAUCGACCAAAAAACUCUCCUUUCGC
Molecule: ribosomal RNA, 1084 nt
Filed under: Triticum aestivum (bread wheat)
Lineage: Eukaryota; Viridiplantae; Streptophyta; Magnoliopsida; Poales; Poaceae
Description: partial small subunit ribosomal RNA
Source: RNAcentral